UCCUUUGUAGCUCAGUCAGUAAAGAAUCUGCCUGCAAUGCAGGAGACCUGGGUUCAAUUCCUGGGUCAGGAA
RNAcentral lists this transfer RNA (72 nucleotides) under Odocoileus virginianus texanus. It matches the Rfam family "tRNA". From Rfam's summary of the family: Transfer RNA (tRNA) molecules are approximately 80 nucleotides in length. Their secondary structure includes four short double-helical elements and three loops (D, anti-codon, and T loops). The record is from Rfam by way of RNAcentral. Lineage: Eukaryota; Metazoa; Chordata; Mammalia; Artiodactyla; Cervidae. RNAcentral also lists the same sequence under 2 other names.